Molecule: ribosomal RNA, 462 nt
Filed under: uncultured bacterium
Lineage: Bacteria
Description: partial 16S ribosomal RNA
Rfam family: Bacterial small subunit ribosomal RNA
Source: RNAcentral
GACGAACGCUGGCGGCGUGCUUAACACAUGCAAGUCGAACGGAAAGGCACUUCGGGGUACUCGAGUGGCGAACGGGGGAGUAACACGUGGGUGAUCUGCCCUGCACUUUGGGAUAAGCCUGGGAAACUGGGUCUAAUACCGAAUAGGACCACGCGCUGCAUGGUGUGUGGUGGAAAGCUUUUGCGGUGUGGGAUGGGCCCGCGGCCUAUCAGCUUGUUGGUGGGGUAAUGGCCUACCAAGGCGACGACGGGUAGCCGGCCUGAGAGGGUGACCGGCCACACUGGGACUGAGAGACGGCCCAGACUCCUACGGGAGGCAGCAGUGGGGAAUAUUGCACAAUGGGCGCAAGCCUGAUGCAGCGACGCUGCGUGAGGGAUGACGGCCUUCGGGUUGUAAACCUCUUUCAAUAGGGACGAAGCGCAAGUGACGGUACCUAUAGAAGAAGCACCGGCCAACUACGUG